AAAAAAGAGAGGAGAAAUCGCUGAAAUGCAGGCUUGGGACUGGGAGGAUGGAGGGAUGUCAUGUUGCUGCACUGAGCGUUACAGGCCUCACAGGCUGCAAGAAAACAGUCUAUUUGAAGGAAAAAAAAUCGACACAAACAGGAGUCAACUAUUUCGUCCACAGCUGCACAACUGCUGCAAGAUGCACCACUGCAAAGGGAAAUGUUCAUAAUUUUGGGCUAAAUUUUUUGAACAUCAGAGCACUUCCUGCUUUGUUGCUAAAUAUGAAUACACUUAGUAGAUGCACGUGGUUGGGAUGAGGAAAAAACAGGUCUGGCUUUCUAAUCUCCCAGGACACAAACACCACUCUCCUGUCACCUUAACUUUUGUUCUUGCCUCGCUGCGUUUCCCCUGAUGCCACCAGCUGCUGUUAAACUACGACGGCAAUUGGCCAUGUUUCAUGCCAACGUUAAAGGAUGGCUUUCUUCAUCAGUGUCUGACGCCGGGAGUCGCUGCACAGGCACUGGACUUUGGAGUGCGACAGAGUUGUCCAUUAACUAACCCUGUUUUCCAGUGCGUUUGUGACACCAGUGUGACACAACAGAAAGGCAUACUCGUCUACUGGCAAUGGGGAAGUAUUGCCUAUUUUUAGCGUGUUUUCCCAAGCUUAAAAUAUAUAUAUAAUAUAUAUGUAAAAGGGUAUGUUUCUGCACUGGCACAGCUAAGCAAUCCAGGCCUGUCACUUUCACCUACUCUGCCAAGCUGGUCCGGAGGUCUACACUGUCUAGUUGGGAAGAUUAUAAGACCUUGGGGUGUCUCACUUUGUGCUAUGAUGGAUGGAGACUCGACUGUAUGUUCCAAAGAGCCACACACGCCUCUCUGUGUGACCUUGUUUUCUUUGGUGUAACUGGUAUUGUUUGUCAAGCAAACUCCAUGCCACUGUUUCUGGGACCAGUAU
Molecule: long non-coding RNA, 937 nt
Organism: Epinephelus moara (kelp grouper)
Lineage: Eukaryota; Metazoa; Chordata; Actinopteri; Perciformes; Serranidae
Exons: 4
Source: RefSeq, a predicted model, not a curated record